This is a long non-coding RNA of Hyaena hyaena (striped hyena), 847 nucleotides long. RefSeq lists it as uncharacterized. The record is from RefSeq and is a predicted model, not a curated record. NCBI's taxonomy places the organism in Eukaryota, Metazoa, Chordata, Mammalia, Carnivora, Hyaenidae. The transcript has 2 exons.
CAGACCCCCGCCACCACUCCAAAACCCCAUCACUAUGACUUCAUAAAGGAUGACAUGCAAUAAGAUGACACUGCCAUGUUGGAUAGAUCAUACAGAGAGGGACAUGCCUCAGGAGCCCUAGCUCUUUAAGCCCCCCGCUAUAGGUGUCUCUCCAGCAUCAACUGCCAAACAGAAUUUAAUCGUUGCUUUGGUUUACAGAAUGGAGACCAUUCAUACAAUCAUGGACAUUUCUUCCACAAAUAUCAAAUUUCGGCUCUGCUGCCUUACUUCAAUGCCCUUUGCAAAUGCAACAUUUUGUGUCCAUGCUUUGUCACAGUGAAUCUUUAUGGCCUUUGUUGUAUGGAACUUUUUAAACAGCAGCUGAAUAUACAUAGUACCAGUGAUGUAUUGGCCUCAAAUGGAGAGAUGGGGAGCAGAGCUACAACUAACAUUCACCUGUGCACAAUGAUAAGUGUCAUGAGUGCUGCCUGGCUGCUGGCAGGUGUAACAUACAUCACGGUUUUAGGGAUGUUGAAGCGAACAGAAGUGUUUUUAACAACAUAAACCUCGAUGAAGAUGUGUGUUUAAACAAAGUCCUAAUUUCAAACCUUAGGAGGUAAAGAAAAAAUCCAGUGCCUUGAAGCAGGAUGUUGUAGCAUUUUUCUUCUUCACAACCAUUUCCAAAUGCUGCACUGUGAUAUUCCGAUACUUCUGGCUGAAAACCUGAGCACUGGAAGUCACCCGGAUGGUAACAAGUCCAGAUACAAAAUUCCUGCAGGUGCUAACUUGGUAUGACCCACAAAACUGUACUUUCACACUUGUCCACCCUCCUGUGAGCUCAAAAACGAUGUAAGGCUUAUAUGAUGCA